AUGAACGCUGGCGGCGUGCUUAACACAUGCAAGUCGAACGAGAAAUGUAGACGGAAACCUUCGGGCGGAAGCCUCCAUUUCGAGUGGCGGACGGGUGAGUAACGCGUGGGUAACCUGCCUCAUACAGGGGGAUAACAGUUGGAAACGACUGUUAAUACCGCAUAAGACCACAGCAUCGCAUGAUGCGGGGGUAAAAACUCCGGUGGUAUGAGAUGGACCCGCGUUCGAUUAGCCAGUUGGCGGGGUAACGGCCCACCAAAGCGACGAUCGAUAGCCGAUCUGAGAGGAUGACCGGCCACAUUGGGACUGAGACACGGCCCAAACUCCUACGGGAGGCAGCAGUGGGGAAUAUUGCACAAUGGGGGAAACCCUGAUGCAGCGACGCCGCGUGAGUGAAGAAGUACUUCGGUAUGUAAAGCUCUAUCAGCAGGGAAGAAAAUGACGGUACCUGAGUAAGAAGCCCCGGCUAACUACGUG
This 477-nucleotide ribosomal RNA is filed under the name uncultured bacterium. Its description in RNAcentral is "partial 16S ribosomal RNA". It matches the Rfam family "Bacterial small subunit ribosomal RNA", at positions 29 to 507 of the family's 1533-position model. The record is from RNAcentral.